AGAGUUUGAUCAUGGCUCAGGACGAACGCUGGCGGCGGGCUUAACACAUGCAAGUCGAACGCACCGGGAAACCGGUGAGUGGCGCACGGGUGCGUAACACGUAGGUAACCUGCCCUUGAGCGUGGAAUAACUCCGGGAAACCGGAGCUAAUACCGCAUGUUGUCCGGUGGUGGCAUCACUGCCGGAUGAAAGCCUUCGGGCACUCAAGGAUGGGCCUGCGGCGGAUUAGGUAGUUGGUAGGGUAAAGGCCUACCAAGCCAACGAUCCGUAGCUGGUCUGAGAGGAUGAUCAGCCACACUGGCACUGAGACACGGGCCAGACUCCUACGGGAGGCAGCAGUGAGGAAUCUUGCGCAAUGGAGGCAACUCUGACGCAGCCACGCCGCGUGAAGGAAGACCCCCCUAUGGGGCGUAAACUUCUUUUCUGCAGGAAGAACGCCGGUUUACGACCGGGCUGACGGUACUGCAGGAAUAAGGACCGGCUAACUCCGUGCCAGCAGCCGCGGUAAUACGGAGGGUCCAAGCGUUGUCCGGAAUCAUUGGGUGUAAAGGGUGUGUAGGCGGGACGAUAAGUCAGUGGUAAAA
Molecule: ribosomal RNA, 584 nt
Filed under: uncultured bacterium
Lineage: Bacteria
Description: bacterial SSU rRNA
Rfam family: Bacterial small subunit ribosomal RNA
Source: RNAcentral